AGUGAACGCUGGCGGUAGGCCUAACACAUGCAAGUCGAACGGCAGCACAGUAAGAGCUUGCUCUUACGGGUGGCGAGUGGCGGACGGGUGAGGAAUACAUCGGAAUCUACUUUUUCGUGGGGGAUAACGUAGGGAAACUUACGCUAAUACCGCAUACGACCUACGGGUGAAAGUAGGGGAUCUUCGGACCUUGCGCGAUUGAAUGAGCCGAUGUAGGCUUCGCUAGUUGGCGGGUUAAAGGCCCACCAACGCGACGAUCCGUAGCUUGUCUGAGAGGAUGAUCAGCCGCACUGGAACUGAGACACGGUCCAGACUCCGACAGAAGGCAUCAGUUGGGAAUAUUGGACGAUGGGCCGGUGCCUAAUCCAGCCAUAGCGGGUGAGGGAAGGAGGCCGUCGAGUUGGGAAGCCCUUUUGUUGAGAAAUAAAAGCAGCAGGUUAAUACCCCGCUGUUCUGACGGUACCCAAAGAAUAAGCACCGGCUAGCUUCGUG
Molecule: ribosomal RNA, 492 nt
Filed under: uncultured bacterium
Lineage: Bacteria
Description: partial 16S ribosomal RNA
Rfam family: Bacterial small subunit ribosomal RNA
Source: RNAcentral